ACAGUGGUACGAACUAUACCAUCACAGUGAGAGCUGGUAAUGUACUAGGAGCAUCAAAUUCAAGUAUCAUAUCAGCUAAGACAUCAUUAUCAAAAUCAUGUGGAAUGAGAUCAAUUGUUUGCAACUCAAUGGUAGAUUCUAAUGAAAGUGGUGCUGCUAUUGGACUUGCAAUUACUGUAGCUUUAUUGAUGAUUCUAUUAACUAUUAGUCUUGUUGUCCAUGUCUACUGUUUCAUAAAAUUAAUGUACCCCACUAUUAUUGCAACACAAAGAAAUAAAUCCACUGCUAAAGAUGAAAAUAAAAUUAUUGAAGACA
Long non-coding RNA from Amphimedon queenslandica, 315 nucleotides. RefSeq lists it as uncharacterized. Lineage: Eukaryota; Metazoa; Porifera; Demospongiae; Haplosclerida; Niphatidae. The transcript is spliced from 4 exons. The record is from RefSeq and is a predicted model, not a curated record.